Molecule: ribosomal RNA, 484 nt
Filed under: uncultured bacterium
Lineage: Bacteria
Description: partial 16S ribosomal RNA
Rfam family: Bacterial small subunit ribosomal RNA
Source: RNAcentral
AUUGAACGCUGGCGGAAUGCUUUACACAUGCAAGUCGAGCGGCAGCACGGGGGCAGCCCUGGUGGCGAGUGGCGAACGGGUGAGUAAUACAUCGGAACGUGCCCGGUCGUGGGGGAUAACGUAGCGAAAGUUACGCUGAUACCGCAUACGAUCUGAGGAUGAAAGCGGGGGACCUUCGGGCCUCGCGCGAUCGGAGCGGCCGAUGUCAGAUUAGGUAGUUGGUGGGGUAAAGGCCUACCAAGCCGACGAUCUGUAGCUGGUCUGAGAGGACGACCAGCCACACUGGGACUGAGACACGGCCCAGACUCCUACGGGAGGCAGCAGUGGGGAAUUUUGGACAAUGGGCGCAAGCCUGAUCCAGCCAUUCCGCGUGCAGGACGAAGGCCUUCGGGUUGUAAACUGCUUUUGUACGGAACGAAAAGGCUCUGGCUAAUACCUGGGGCUCAUGACGGUACCGUAAGAAUAAGCACCGGCUAACUACGUG